This 498-nucleotide unclassified non-coding RNA is filed under the name uncultured Glomus. Its description in RNAcentral is "SSU rRNA". It matches the Rfam family "Eukaryotic small subunit ribosomal RNA", at positions 591 to 1092 of the family's 1831-position model. Lineage: Eukaryota; Fungi; Glomeromycota; Glomeromycetes; Glomerales; Glomeraceae. The record is from RNAcentral.
CCAAUAGCGUAUAUUAAAGUUGUUGCAGUUAAAAAGCUCGUAGUUGAAUUUCGGGAUCAAUAUGUUGGUCGUGCCUCGGUACGUACUAGCUUAUUGGUUUCUCCUUUCUGAAGAACCAUGAUGUCAUUUAUUUGGUGUCGUGGGGAAUCAGGACUGUUACUUUGAAAAAAUUAGAGUGUUUAAAGCAGGCUCACGCUUGAAUACAUUAGCAUGGAAUAAUGAAAUAGGACGUUUGAUUCUAUUUUGUUGGUUUCUAGGAUCGACGUAAUGAUUAAUAGGGAUAGUUGGGGGCAUUAGUAUUCAAUUGUCAGAGGUGAAAUUCUUGGAUUUAUUGAAGAAUAACUACUGCGAAAGCAUUUGCCAAGGAUGUUUUCAUUAAUCAAGAACGAAAGUUAGGGGAUCGAAGACGAUCAGAUACCGUCGUAGUCUUAACCAUAAACUAUGCCGACUAGGGAUCGGAUGAUGUUAAUUUUUUAAUGACUCAUUCGGCGCCUUACG